RNAcentral lists this non-coding RNA (22 nucleotides) under Arabidopsis thaliana (thale cress). The record is from RNAcentral. Lineage: Eukaryota; Viridiplantae; Streptophyta; Magnoliopsida; Brassicales; Brassicaceae.
CAUGUGUUUCUGGAAAUGUCUU